This 176-nucleotide long non-coding RNA is filed under the name Fukomys damarensis (Damara mole-rat). Its description in RNAcentral is "lncRNA (ENSFDAG00000030066.1)". Lineage: Eukaryota; Metazoa; Chordata; Mammalia; Rodentia; Bathyergidae. The record is from RNAcentral.
UGGGGACUAGGACACUGUUUACCUCAGCAAUUCCAUUCUGUUCCUUAUUUUCUUCAUUCCAGGAAAUCAAGGCAGCGUGGUUCUAGGAUCAAAAUCAUCAACAGUAACAAUUUGUCUGACAAAGCAAAAAUCGGUAAAAAAAUAAUAAAAAGGAUAAAGAUAAGAUGUGGUUGGAA